AUGUGUCACAGAUGAAAUUCUGGUGAUCCUUCUAAUCGUGUCCCACCUAAACUAAUGCCCCUUUCCUGGAUUUGCACUAUAACUAGGAGUUCUUGCUUCUUUGUAAUAUAAAUAUUGUUAUUUUUGGUUACAUUUAAUCCUCCUUCUUCCUUCCGUUCUACACACCAUCUUCUUGUAUGACCUCAGCAAGUCUACAUUUCCUACAAUCUCUCCAUGUUCCCCAGUAAUACCCACCAUCUUCUUGUUGGACCCCAGCAUGGUCUACAUUUCUUACAAUCUUUCCUCCUUUGCCUUAUACUACCCGCCAUUUUCUUGUAUGACCUCAGCAAGUCUACAUUUCCUAUAAUCCCUCCUUCUUCCUUCCAUUCUUAAUCACAUGUUUUGGAUUCAUCUGCGUUCACAGGAGAUACCAGCUAAUUACUUGUUAAUUGGGUCUCCAAUCACCAUCCCACUGGCCGUGUGAUCAGUGGAUCAGAGUAUAUAUUCGAUAUCCAUUUGUUGUGUAUGUUAGCUAUGAUUAAGCACUGAGUUACAGUGUGAAAUGCGUCAGCUUGCAUCUGUUUUUUUGCUGUGGCAUGUAUUUUUGUGAUAUGAUUUUACAAUAAAGGAACCAAUUUUUUUGGAGUGCGACUGUCCAAACCUUCCUUCCUACUUUUUGCAUUCCUCCCAUUCUACCCACCAUCUUCUUGUAUGACCUCAGCAAGUCUAUGUUUCCUAUAAUCCCUCCUUCUUCCUCCCAUUCUACCCGCCAUCUUCUUGUAUGACCUCAGCAAGUCUACAUUUCUUACAGUUCUCCACCAUCUUCUGGUAUGACCUCAAGGUGUAUGCAUUGUAUUCAGUCCCUCCAUGUUCCCCAAUACUACCCACCCUCUUCUUGUAUGACCUCAGCAAGUCUACAUUUCUUACAGUUCUCCAUCAUCUUCUUGUAUGACCUCAGGGUGUAUGCAUUGUAUUCAGUCCCUCCAUGUUCCCCAAUACUGCCCGCCAUCUUCUUGUAUGACAUCCUCGAUGUGUCACAGAUGAAUUUCCGGUGAUCCCUCUAAUCGUGUCCCACCUAAACUACUUCCCCAUUUCCUGGAUUUGCACUGUAACUAGGAGUUCCUGCUUCUAUGUAAUAUAAAUAUUGUUAUUUUUGGUUACAUUUCAUGCUAUUUGUUUGAAUUAUCAGAUGAUUUUAUUUGAUGUAUUUUAUAAAGCUUUGUUGUAUA
Molecule: long non-coding RNA, 1208 nt
Organism: Rana temporaria (common frog)
Lineage: Eukaryota; Metazoa; Chordata; Amphibia; Anura; Ranidae
Exons: 2
Source: RefSeq, a predicted model, not a curated record